CCUACGGGCGGCAGCAGUGGGGAAUAUUGCGCAAUGGGCGAAAGCCUGACGCAGCGAAGCCGCGUGAAGGACGAAGGCCUUCGGGUAGUAAAGUUCUUUUGACAGGGAAGAAAAUGCCUAUAAGUAACUGUGUAUGUAUUGACGGUACCUGUAUAAGCAGCCCCGGCUAACUCCGUGCCAGCAGCCGCGGUAAUACGGAGGGGGCGAGCGUUGUUCGGAGUGACUGGGCGUAAAGAGCACGUAGGCGGUGUUGUAAGUCAUUAGUCAAAGACUAGAGCUCAACUUUAGUAAGGCUAGUGAUACUAUAAUACUAGAGUAUCAGAGAGGAUUGCGGAAUUCCUGGUGUAGCGGUGAAAUGCGUAGAUAUCAGGAGGAAUACCGUUCGCGAAGGCGGCAAUCUGGCUGGAAACUGACGCUGAGGUGCGAAAGCGUGGGUAGCAAACAGGAUUAGAUACCCUAGUAGUC
RNAcentral lists this ribosomal RNA (465 nucleotides) under uncultured bacterium. RNAcentral's name for it is "partial 16S ribosomal RNA". It matches the Rfam family "Bacterial small subunit ribosomal RNA", at positions 338 to 795 of the family's 1533-position model. The record is from RNAcentral.